CGGGACGCUUGGGAAGCCCCCAGGGAAACAGGGGAAAGGCCGCGCCACGGGCUGUGCCGCCCUCCACCCCGUAGCACUGGCCAGUGCCGUUGCCCGUCUCGGCUAUGGCGGGGCUCGCUGGCGCCGGCUGCACCGCCUCGGCGAUGGGGAACGGGCCCCGGGGCCAGAGCGUCACCUUUGUGGUCGGCAUGCGGGGAGCCGCGACUCCCGCGGCUGCGUACCUGAAGGAGCACCUCAUACGGGUUCUCUUCCUGCUGGCCGCCAGGCUCACCGAGGCUGUGUUCAAUGUCAUAGCGUUUUCCAGCAAGGUGUUAAAAUGGUGCAACUGCUUGGUCAGAUGUUCACUCUGUAGUGUCACCGAAGCAGCAGCCUGGAUUAGAUCCCUGCACUUUGAGAAUGGCAUGGAUGCUGCAAGUGGCUUGGCUGUGGCAUUUGAAGACCCAGACUGUGAGGAAGUGUAUCUGCUCACCAACAUGCUCCCAGAGCAGGAAUCAGAGGAAAUCUGUCAACUUCUUGCAGAGAACAAGUUGCAUCCAGUACAUGUUGUAUGCCUUUUGGGAGAUUCAGAUGAUUAUGAAAGAGGCAAGCAAAAAACAAUGGAAAAAGUAGCCAGACAGUCUGGGGGAUCCUUUCAAGUGAUCAGACUCCCUCAUACUGCUUCUGAAAAGAUAAGCUCCAUGUCCAUCUCACAUGUCCAGUGUUGUCACACCACUAGUAAAGAUCCCUGUGGCUCUUUGCUGUCAGGAUGUCCAGCAACAGAGUAA
Molecule: long non-coding RNA, 764 nt
Filed under: Dromaius novaehollandiae (emu)
Lineage: Eukaryota; Metazoa; Chordata; Aves; Casuariiformes; Dromaiidae
Description: lncRNA (ENSDNVG00000010020.1)
Source: RNAcentral